Molecule: long non-coding RNA, 983 nt
Organism: Helianthus annuus (common sunflower)
Lineage: Eukaryota; Viridiplantae; Streptophyta; Magnoliopsida; Asterales; Asteraceae
Exons: 4
Source: RefSeq, a predicted model, not a curated record
GAUAUUAACAUGAAGUAUUGUAACUAGGUAUAUUGAACCUAGUUAAAAUAUUAGUUAUCUAUUAGUGAAAAUAGUGCUUUGACCAAACUAGAUAACUAACCAAAACAUAAGGGCCAAAAGUGAAUAUGCUAGAACCUUAGAUAAAUAACAACACAAAAAAAAGAAAGGGAAAAAGAAAAGGGCGUGACCAGGAGGUCACCCCUGUGCGACGCAUGACAAGGAAGAAGGAGAAGGAGACUGAUUUCACAUGAGGAUCACGAAAUUGGAGGGUUGUAGUCUCGAUUAUGUCUUCUUUGCUUGAUUCUAAGGCUCUAAUAGGUGGCAUAACGUUUGGAUGGCAACAGGUCAAACGGGUGAUAAAGCAACAACAUUCCUACGGGCAAAGGGAUAUACAUGAGAUAUAAAAAAGGGGCAUCCAUAUUAGAAUGGAGAAAGUCACAAAAUGUGUGACUCGAGAUAAUGAAGUGGUGGCUCGAUAUUGUUUCGUUGGGCAUUAUGAGCAUUGAAUACUCCGUUAUGUUUGGUACAAAAUCAUAUUAUGAGUCCUCACUUAACAAAAGCUAAUAUUUUGAUGUUUUAAAUGUAGGUGAUAAGUCAUGAAAAUCAACGGGGUGACUUGAACCAGAAUCAUGAAAGAAGAAAACAUCUCACAAGUCAUUCACCAAUAAUUCGAUUCGGGUGGUAGGAAGGCGAAAGUGAUCAAGUUUUUGAAGCGGGUCAAUGAUGUGAAGAUUUAGUGAUGCCUUGUUCACUAAGUAAUAUGGGUUUUCUUAUUGGGUCAACUUGACUUAGUUAGUUGCAUUUUAGAGUUUAACUUUAAUGUUUAUUUUAGCCAAGUGCUAGUAUGUCAAUGUAGUAGUGGGUUAUAUUUGUUUUAUAAAAACCUUGGUUAAUAAGCAGGUAUUGUUUUUGUAAGGAUUGGUCGUGAUGCAAACAGGUCAUGGCGAAAUUUUCUAAAAGUGUGUUUGUAAUUAUUUUAUUAA